This 460-nucleotide ribosomal RNA is filed under the name uncultured bacterium. RNAcentral describes it as "partial 16S ribosomal RNA". It matches the Rfam family "Bacterial small subunit ribosomal RNA", at positions 338 to 795 of the family's 1533-position model. The record is from RNAcentral.
CCUACGGGAGGCAGCAGUGAGGAAUAUUGGUCAAUGGGCUUACGCCUGAACCAGCCAAGUCGCGUGAGGGAAGACUGCCCUAUGGGUUGUAAACCUCUUUUGUCAGGGAGCAAUUGGCGCUACGUGUAGCGUUAUCGAGAGUACCUGAAGAAAAAGCAUCGGCUAACUCCGUGCCAGCAGCCGCGGUAAUACGGAGGAUGCGAGCGUUAUCCGGAUUUAUUUGGUUUAAAGGGUGCGUAGGCGGAAUGCCAAGUCAGCGGUAAAAUCGCGGGGCUCAACCUCGCUCCGCCGUUGAAACUGGCGUUAUUGAGUGGGCGAGAAGUAUGCGGAAUGCGUGGUGUAGUGGUGAAAUGCAUAGAUAUCACGCAGAACUCCGAUUGCGAAGGCAAGUGUCCGGGGUGCAACUGACGCUGAGGCUCGAAAGUGCGGGUAUCAAACAGGAUUAGAUACCCCUGUAGUC